This 1516-nucleotide ribosomal RNA is filed under the name Salmonella enterica subsp. enterica serovar Enteritidis. RNAcentral describes it as "bacterial SSU rRNA". It matches the Rfam family "Bacterial small subunit ribosomal RNA". The record is from RNAcentral. Lineage: Bacteria; Pseudomonadati; Pseudomonadota; Gammaproteobacteria; Enterobacterales; Enterobacteriaceae.
UGGCGGCAGGCCUAACACAUGCAAGUCGAACGGUAACAGGAAGCAGCUUGCUGCUUUGCUGACGAGUGGCGGACGGGUGAGUAAUGUCUGGGAAACUGCCUGAUGGAGGGGGAUAACUACUGGAAACGGUGGCUAAUACCGCAUAACGUCGCAAGACCAAAGAGGGGGACCUUCGGGCCUCUUGCCAUCAGAUGUGCCCAGAUGGGAUUAGCUUGUUGGUGAGGUAACGGCUCACCAAGGCGACGAUCCCUAGCUGGUCUGAGAGGAUGACCAGCCACACUGGAACUGAGACACGGUCCAGACUCCUACGGGAGGCAGCAGUGGGGAAUAUUGCACAAUGGGCGCAAGCCUGAUGCAGCCAUGCCGCGUGUAUGAAGAAGGCCUUCGGGUUGUAAAGUACUUUCAGCGGGGAGGAAGGUGUUGUGGUUAAUAACCGCAGCAAUUGACGUUACCCGCAGAAGAAGCACCGGCUAACUCCGUGCCAGCAGCCGCGGUAAUACGGAGGGUGCAAGCGUUAAUCGGAAUUACUGGGCGUAAAGCGCACGCAGGCGGUCUGUCAAGUCGGAUGUGAAAUCCCCGGGCUCAACCUGGGAACUGCAUUCGAAACUGGCAGGCUUGAGUCUUGUAGAGGGGGGUAGAAUUCCAGGUGUAGCGGUGAAAUGCGUAGAGAUCUGGAGGAAUACCGGUGGCGAAGGCGGCCCCCUGGACAAAGACUGACGCUCAGGUGCGAAAGCGUGGGGAGCAAACAGGAUUAGAUACCCUGGUAGUCCACGCCGUAAACGAUGUCUACUUGGAGGUUGUGCCCUUGAGGCGUGGCUUCCGGAGCUAACGCGUUAAGUAGACCGCCUGGGGAGUACGGCCGCAAGGUUAAAACUCAAAUGAAUUGACGGGGGCCCGCACAAGCGGUGGAGCAUGUGGUUUAAUUCGAUGCAACGCGAAGAACCUUACCUGGUCUUGACAUCCACAGAAGAAUCCAGAGAUGGAUUUGUGCCUUCGGGAACUGUGAGACAGGUGCUGCAUGGCUGUCGUCAGCUCGUGUUGUGAAAUGUUGGGUUAAGUCCCGCAACGAGCGCAACCCUUAUCCUUUGUUGCCAGCGGUUAGGCCGGGAACUCAAAGGAGACUGCCAGUGAUAAACUGGAGGAAGGUGGGGAUGACGUCAAGUCAUCAUGGCCCUUACGACCAGGGCUACACACGUGCUACAAUGGCGCAUACAAAGAGAAGCGACCUCGCGAGAGCAAGCGGACCUCAUAAAGUGCGUCGUAGUCCGGAUUGGAGUCUGCAACUCGACUCCAUGAAGUCGGAAUCGCUAGUAAUCGUGGAUCAGAAUGCCACGGUGAAUACGUUCCCGGGCCUUGUACACACCGCCCGUCACACCAUGGGAGUGGGUUGCAAAAGAAGUAGGUAGCUUAACCUUCGGGAGGGCGCUUACCACUUUGUGAUUCAUGACUGGGGUGAAGUCGUAACAAGGUAACCGUAGGGGAACCUGCGGUUGGAUCACCUCCUUACCUUAAAGAA